RNAcentral lists this transfer RNA (85 nucleotides) under Thermanaerothrix daxensis. RNAcentral describes it as "tRNA-Leu". It matches the Rfam family "tRNA". Rfam says of the family: Transfer RNA (tRNA) molecules are approximately 80 nucleotides in length. Their secondary structure includes four short double-helical elements and three loops (D, anti-codon, and T loops). Further hydrogen bonds mediate the characteristic L-shaped molecular structure. tRNAs have two regions of fundamental functional importance: the anti-codon, which is responsible for specific mRNA codon recognition, and the 3' end, to which the tRNAs corresponding amino acid is attached (by aminoacyl-tRNA synthetases). tRNAs cope with the degeneracy of the genetic code in two manners: having more than one tRNA (with a specific anti-codon) for a particular amino acid; and 'wobble' base-pairing, i.e. permitting non-standard base-pairing at the 3rd anti-codon position. Lineage: Bacteria; Bacillati; Chloroflexota; Anaerolineae; Anaerolineales; Anaerolineaceae. The record is from RNAcentral.
GCCGAAGUGGCGGAACAGGCAGACGCGCACGACUCAAAAUCGUGUCCCGAAAGGGGUGUGGGUUCGACUCCCACCUUCGGCACUA